GCUCAACCGAGGAAGUGCUUCGAAAACUGGUAAGCUUGAGUGCAGAAGAGGAAAGUGGAACUCCAUGUGUAGCGGUGGAAUGCGUAGAUAUAUGGAAGAACACCAGUGGCGAAGGCGGCUUUCUGGUCUGUAACUGACGCUGAGAUUCGAAAGCAUGGGUAGCAAACAGGAUUAGAUACCCUGGUAGUCCAUGCCGUAAACGAUGAGUGCUAAGUGUUGGAGGGUUUCCGCCCUUCAGUGCUGCAGCUAACGCAUUAAGCACUCCGCCUGGGGAGUACGACCGCAAGGUUGAAACUCAAAGGAAUUGACGGGGGCCCGCACAAGCGGUGGAGCAUGUGGUUUAAUUCGAAGCAACGCGAAGAACCUUACCAGGUCUUGACAUACCAUGAAAAGCUUAGAGAUAAGUCUUUCCCUUCGGGGACAUGGAUACAGGUGGUGCAUGGUUGUCGUCAGCUCGUGUCGUGAGAUGUUGGGUUAAGUCCCGCAACGAGCGCAACCCUUAUUAUCAGUUGCCAGCAUUCAGUUGGGCACUCUGGUGAGACUGCCGGUGACAAACCGGAGGAAGGUGGGGACGACGUCAAAUCAUCGUGCCCCUUAUGACCUGGGCUACACACGUGCUACAAUGGUCGGUACAACG
Molecule: ribosomal RNA, 637 nt
Filed under: uncultured bacterium
Lineage: Bacteria
Description: bacterial SSU rRNA
Rfam family: Bacterial small subunit ribosomal RNA
Source: RNAcentral